RNAcentral lists this non-coding RNA (26 nucleotides) under Homo sapiens (human). Lineage: Eukaryota; Metazoa; Chordata; Mammalia; Primates; Hominidae. The record is from RNAcentral.
UGAUGGACUUGGUGUUGGAAGAGGAC